This 3289-nucleotide long non-coding RNA is filed under the name Diabrotica virgifera virgifera (western corn rootworm). RNAcentral's name for it is "uncharacterized LOC126878878". Lineage: Eukaryota; Metazoa; Arthropoda; Insecta; Coleoptera; Chrysomelidae. The record is from RNAcentral.
AAUUUCACAGCCUAAAGACAUCAUUUAUGUAACUUCUUAAGCCGUCACAAAAUGACUGCAAUAAGAAAAUAGAAUUUAUUAGCUCGCCUCGCCCCCAGGCAAAGUAAAGGUGCUAGGCCACUAAGAAUGUUUUUUUCAAUUUUUUUUAUUUUGCGGCUUUAGCACUUAGCUAUUUAGCCAGAUGCAUGAUGAGAAUUAAUACUAUUAUAAUACAUAUUAAAACUAAUUCAAAUUACUAGUAAUUUUAUUAAUAUUCUGAAUAAUUAUGUAACCACUUAAUACUAAAAUAAAAAAGUGUCCAUCUAUACUAUCCCAACACAUUUUCACCUUUGAAAUCGUAAAUUUCCAUUCCCAUUAAAAAAUAAUUUGUACUGUAGAAGUAUAUUUCUUUUGAGCUUCAUUUUUUUUUCAAAAUACUGCAACAUGACUUUUAAAUUAUGACACAGUACAAUACUUGUUUCAAUAUUUACAUGUAAAUAAAAUAAUCCUAAUUACUUGUAAAAGUAAGGUUAUAAAUUUAAGAAUACAGAACUCUCUUUUAAAACCAAAGUGGCAUUAGACUAAUUUUAAAAUUCCCGCUAAAAGGAAAAAGGUAAAUCUGGCAACAGUGCCGUCGUUUGCUGGACAUUUAGCCGGGAGAGAUUAAAUAUCCAGCACGCAACCGCGCUGUUGCCAGAUUUACAUAGCGGGAAUUUUAAAAUUUCUAAUGCGAAUUGGUUUAAAAUUUGACAUCCGAAUCUUAACCUUACUUUUGUGAUUAUUUAUUUACAAAUGUAAAUAAAUUAAAACAAGUAUUGUAUGUACUGUGUUAUAAUUUAAAACGCUUAAUUAUGUUAGUCCUAAAAAGAUUAAGCCCAAAAGAGAUAUACUUGUUUACAGUGCAAAUUAAUGGCAAUAGGGAUUUACGAUUUCAUUUGCAGGAAAAACAUGGGCAACCUACCCAGUUGGUAAAAUUUCAAUUCAAAAACUCUUUAGAUUUUACUGUGUGGAUGGCACAGGAAGAGAAACAAAAUAAUAUUCAGUACUGCAGUCACAGGAGUACAAAAACAUGAAGCAUCUUAUUAUGUAUGUAUGCCAUUCUCAAACAAUAAUUAUUGUACAAAACAAGAUAAAGAUAGAGACACAGCUUUAAAAUCCCGAGGAUCCUGCGAAAAGAAAAGUGAAAAUGUCUCAAUUAAUGUAGUAUAGAUAGACAUUUUUCUUUAUUUUAGUAUUAAAUAAUUAUUUAGAAUAUUAAUAUGUAUUAGUUUUAAUAGUAUUAAUAUGUAUUAGUUUUAAUAGUAUUAAUAUGUAUUGUAUGAAUAAUUCCCAUCAUGUAUCUGCUAACUAAAGCAACAAAAUAAAUCAAAAUGAAAAAACAUUUCAGUGACGUAGCACCUUUACUUUACCUGGCGGCGAGGUGAGUUAUUAGGUAAAUUCUAUUUUCUUACAUAAUAUACUUAAAAAUUAAUGGUGGUAUUAUUGUGGUUUAUAUUGAAAGCUAAAGCAAUUAAAAUAAUUUUUUCUGUUAAUUAUUUAACACAUUCACAGACACGACUGCAUAUGAAGUCAUUUGCUCCAUAAGAAGACGUGGCUACAGGCAAAGCGUGUCCGUAAAUGUGUUAAUAAUAAUAAUUUUACAUCUAUUGUGUUACACAUACAUUUUACUAUUAAAGACAAUUAUGAAAAUGUCAAAAACGCCCACAAAGUGGCUUUAAGUUUUAUUACACAGUAUGUGGACUUCAAAUAGGACGAUUAUGUUAAGUAUGAGCAGAACAAAGACUAACAAUUAAUGUUUUAUUGUCAUAGGUUGUCUUUUUUCAUUAUAUUUAAUGCAGCUUUCUUUAAAAUUCAGUAAUCCAUAUAUUUCAAAUCCUUUAACUGACCAGCCAACAGAGUGAAGUCUAAAUGACAUGUUUUUUUAGUCUUAAUUGGUAGGAGACCUAAACAUGACCAAAAUAUGAUGUCAGGUUUAAUGACCAAUUUGCCAUCAAUAGGGCUUUUCAUCGAUUGUCAUUUGUUUCGAGCUCCUGUCAUGUGUCAUACAAUAUUAAUAUAUUUACGCCAUACGUCUUUGAUUUGUAUCAUUGGUAUUACCAAUAACGUAUGACGUAUAUAUAUUAAUAUUAUGUGACACAUGACAGAAGCUCAAAACAAAUGACUGUGAAUAAAAAGCCCUAUUCAUCACAUCUAACUUGAAUGACAUUAAAUUGAGCAAUUAGUGGCAACGUUUUAUUGUGGUAAUUUUGUGACGUAAGACAUCUUUAUGACAUGUAUUUACGUCAUAUUCAAUUGACAUCUGUAUUACAUCAAGUUAGUUUUUGGGUGUACACAACUAAACAACAGUUUUUUUAUUGAUAGGUUUAUUUCGUUAAAUCAAAAAAAUGAAUAUAAUUAAAAUAAGAUAAGAAUAACAAAUAUGAUUUGCUACCUACAAAUGUGUUAGGGCUAAAAAAUAUAGUAUUUUUACUACAAAAGCGAUAUUACGUAGGUUAAAAUUUUUGACGUAAGAUAACUGUCAAAACAUCAGAUUGUGACUUUUCAUUAUUGCCAUGUUUAUAAUAAAAUGACAAUAAUGAAAAGUCACAUUCUAAUGUUUUGACAGUUCUCUUACGUCAAAAAUUUUGACCUACGUAAUAUCGCUUUUGUAGUAAAAAUACUAUACAUAAAACAUGACAUUACACACUUUGACCUAAAUCUAAACUAAAAAGUUAUUAUUGUUAUAAUCGGAGUUAAAAAAUAUAGUAACAAAAUUUAUGAACAGGUUUAACCUUCCGAUGACCAACCUUUUUUUUGUUACACGGAUGACCAAGGGGGGGGGGGGGAAAUGGUCAAAAAUAACAUUUAACAAAAAAAUGAAGUUUUUUUUUUAUUUUUUUUAAAUUUUUUUUAUGGCAUGGACUUUAUGUCAUUCAGCCAGUCACAACAUGAGUAUUAGUGUCAUGUGUAGUGUGUAUGUUGAGUAAGUGCCUUGUUACUUUGCAAAGUCGACGUCAUUAGCGUAACACUACUUGGAAUUACACAUAAUAGACGCUAUUUUACUAAACAUCAACUUCAGAAUAUAUUUUUUAUUCGUAAAAUAUAGGGAAUUCUUUUUAUUUCAAAAUAUGAGGAUAUCUAGAAUGAUAUUAAAGUCAAAUAAAAAAAUAAUGAGUUAAAAAUUGAAAAUACUUUUGAAUUUAUUAAAGAAAAACAUAAGCUGGGGUCACAAUUUUUCCCGCUUGGUCAUCCGAAGGUUAAGACUGUUCAAUAAAGUAAUUCCUAGCUAUAAAAAUAGUUUUUACUUAUUAUAUUAUAUCGAUAUAUUUUU